RNAcentral lists this ribosomal RNA (248 nucleotides) under uncultured bacterium. Its description in RNAcentral is "partial 16S ribosomal RNA". It matches the Rfam family "Bacterial small subunit ribosomal RNA", at positions 88 to 339 of the family's 1533-position model. The record is from RNAcentral.
CUGACGAGUGGCGGACGGGUGAGUAACGCGUAGGAAUCUGCCUUAUAGUGGGGGACAACGUGGGGAAACCCACGCUAAUACCGCAUACGCCCUACGGGAGAAAGGAGGGGAUCUUCGGACCUUGCGCUAUUGGAUGAGCCCGCGUUAGAUUAGCUAGUUGGUGGGGUAAGGGCCUACCAAGGCAACGAUCUAUAGCUGGUCUGAGAGGACGAUCAGCCACACUGGGACUGAGACACGGCCCAGACUCC